GGAGAGAUGGCUCAGUGGUUAAGAGCACUGACUGCUCUUCCAGAGGUCCUGAGUUCAAAUCCCAGUAUCCACA
Molecule: transfer RNA, 73 nt
Filed under: Rattus norvegicus (Norway rat)
Lineage: Eukaryota; Metazoa; Chordata; Mammalia; Rodentia; Muridae
Rfam family: tRNA
About the family: Transfer RNA (tRNA) molecules are approximately 80 nucleotides in length. Their secondary structure includes four short double-helical elements and three loops (D, anti-codon, and T loops). Further hydrogen bonds mediate the characteristic L-shaped molecular structure. tRNAs have two regions of fundamental functional importance: the anti-codon, which is responsible for specific mRNA codon recognition, and the 3' end, to which the tRNAs corresponding amino acid is attached (by aminoacyl-tRNA synthetases). tRNAs cope with the degeneracy of the genetic code in two manners: having more than one tRNA (with a specific anti-codon) for a particular amino acid; and 'wobble' base-pairing, i.e. permitting non-standard base-pairing at the 3rd anti-codon position.
Source: Rfam by way of RNAcentral